RNAcentral lists this ribosomal RNA (719 nucleotides) under uncultured Lachnospiraceae bacterium. Its description in RNAcentral is "bacterial SSU rRNA". It matches the Rfam family "Bacterial small subunit ribosomal RNA", at positions 29 to 764 of the family's 1533-position model. Lineage: Bacteria; Bacillati; Bacillota; Clostridia; Lachnospirales; Lachnospiraceae. The record is from RNAcentral.
ACGAACGCUGGCGGCGCGCUACACAUGCAAGUCGAACGAGCGAGAGAGAGCUUGCUUUCUCAAGCGAGUGGCGAACGGGUGAGUAACGCGUGAGGAACCUGCCUCAAAGAGGGGGACAACAGUUGGAAACGACUGCUAAUACCGCAUAAGCCCACGACCCGGCAUCGGGUAGAGGGAAAAGGAGCAAUCCGCUUUGAGAUGGCCUCGCGUCCGAUUAGCUAGUUGGUGAGGUAACGGCCCACCAAGGCGACGAUCGGUGGCCGGACUGAGAGGUUGAACGGCCACAUUGGGACUGAGACACGGCCCAGACUCCUACGGGAGGCAGCAGUGGGGAAUAUUGCACAAUGGGGGAAACCCUGAUGCAGCGACGCCGCGUGGAGGAAGAAGGUCUUCGGAUUGUAAACUCCUGUUGUUGAGGAAGAUAAUGACGGUACUCAACAAGGAAGUGACGGCUAACUACGUGCCAGCAGCCGCGGUAAAACGUAGGUCACAAGCGUUGUCCGGAAUUACUGGGUGUAAAGGGAGCGCAGGCGGGAAGACAAGUUGGAAGUGAAAUCCAUGGGCUCAACCCAUGAACUGCUUUCAAAACUGUUUUUCUUGAGUAGUGCAGAGGUAGGCGGAAUUCCCGGUGUAGCGGUGGAAUGCGUAGAUAUCGGGAGGAACACCAGUGGCGAAGGCGGCCUACUGGGCACCAACUGACGCUGAGGCUGAAAGUGUGG